UGCUCCUGCUCUCACCCCACACUCUGGUCUCCUCCUCGACAGGCAGCCUCUCCCUGGUCCUCGUCCCUCAAGAGAGCAGGCUGCCUGUCAGUGCCAUCCUGCAGUGGCAGGUGUCCCACUGUGGGAAGCCUGGGGAUGCAUGCCAUGCAAGGGAGAGGCAUGCCAUGCAAGGGAGAGGCAUCCCUGGAGGACAGGGGGCUCGGGCAGGUCUCGAGCAGGAAGGCAGAGCAGAGCUGGAGGCACCUGCAGCACUGAGGCCUGGGCACCCCAGCCACUAGUUCCAGUUCAGCCCCUGGCAAGCACCUGAAGUGAGCUGUGUGUGUGCUUUCUGUAACCUGGGUGAGGCUGGCCAGGCUGGAGUUCACUGACCUGGCCAAGAAAGGCCGAGGAGAGGCCCAGAGGACAUGUGAGCAGCAUACAGCAGAGGGCAGGAUGGAGAGGGGGUGGGGGAGCUGUGGCCCUGUCCUUCCAGACACCCCCAGGACAUGGCUGAAGCACCAGAGCUUGGAGACCUGGGGUGGCACGCCAGGGCUGGCCAGAGGCUGCGGCUGCAGCUCCAGCUGGUUGUGCAUGACCCCAAGUCUGCUCGUGGUCCUGUGCUGCCCGACCGUCCCUAGGCAGGGCAAGUGAUAGCUUUAGAGGGGAGAAACAUACACUUGCUGUGAGAGCCGGACCAGCCUCUGUGGGUGUGGGCAAGGCGUGAUGGGGUGCAGCAGAGGUUGGGGGAGAGGCAGCACCCACAGGGUCAUCAGGAGGUGUGAGGGGACAAGAAAAGGCGGGGAUCCAAUGGGAGUGGCCCAGAGUGUUGUCCAGAACACACAGACAAGGCUGAGAAGUGUGCCCCGUGGGUCAUGAGGUGGCUGCAGAGCUGUCACUCACCUGCAGAGCUGGGAAGAGAUGUGACGAGAGAGGAGAUGGACUGGCUCUCAGUGGACACAGACCUGGUGGUGGGGAGGGAGGAGCUUCCGUGUGCAGUGAUGGAGCUGGCUAGGAACACAGUAGUCUGCAGCCUGGUGGUACUCGGCUGUCUGGUGGUGAGGUUGGUGGCUGGAGAACUUGGGACGGCUGUCACCCCCAGUGUAGAAGACAGGAGGCCGUGGGUGGGGGUUUGGGUGGUGAGAGAGGUGGACUGGGCGGUGGUGGACUGAGAGGAUGGGACAGAGGAAGUGGGACUGCUGACCGUGGUCCGGGGUGUAGACAGGAUGACCGUACUAACAGUGGGGGCAGGGGACAGGGUGGGAGCUGAUGGAGGUGACAGGGAGGCCCUGAUGGGUGUGGAGGCGGCUGGGGAAGGGGGGCUGGUUGGCAGGGACGCUGUUUGUGACAUGGUCAGAGGUGCAGAGGGCGAGGGACUGUGUGGAGCUGAGCUGACGCUUGGGAUGCUGUGUGAAGUGGAGACUGCAGAAGGGGAAGGGGAAGACGAUAUCAAAGGAGAGGUGUUCGAGGACCCGUGAGGAGGAGGAGAGGAAACAGUGGGCAAGGAGGAGGGGAUUGGGACAGUGGAAGAAGAGGGGUAAUGGGGAAGAGUCGACACAGAAACAGAAGUGGUUAAAGGACUUUGGCUUGGGUUCAGAGAAGCUGGAGAAGACAAUGGAGAGCUGAAGCUAGAGCUUUGUAGUGGUGCUGUGCUGACUGAGCUCUGGGUUUGUGUGGUCCCUGUUGUGGUCUUUGUGAGUGGCAGGGUUGUGGGUGUGGUGCUCCCUAUUGUUGUUGUCAGCAGUGGGGAUAUGGAUGUGGGUGCCAUGGAUGUGACCGGGACGUGUGUCAAUGGCGUUGGGGUGCCAGUAGGCUUUGUGGUGGAGUAGGUAGCAUGGGACUCAGUUGGGGUGAUGACUUGGUGAGAGGUUGAAGUCACAGAUGUUGACACAUGGAUGGGAAGGGUCUCUGGAUGUGAUGGGGUGGAAUGGGUGGUGGUGGUCCGGAAGGAUGUUCCUGUUGGCAGAACUGUUGUGUGAGAGGUGGUGUGGACAGAAAAGGUGGCACUGGAGUGAGUGGUGAAUGGAGUGUGUGGCCCAGUGGGGGCAGCUGUUGUGUGUGUCACGGGUGUUCCAGUGCCUCUACUGGUAGAUGGAAGGGAGAUAGUACUGAGCAGUGGAGAAGUGCUUACAGGGAGGAUGGUUGAAGUAGAAUGUGAUAUUGGGGCUGUGGAGGUUGUUAUUGUGCUGACCAAGUUUUGGGCUUGAGUGGUCCCUGUUGUGGUCUUUGUCAGUGGUGGGACUGUAGGUGCAGUGGUCUUUGUCAGUGGUGUGGCUGUGGAUGUAGUGGUCUCUGUGGUGGUCUUUGUCAGUGGUGUGGCUAUAGGUGUGGUGGACCCUAUGGUGGUCUUUGUCAGUGGUGUGGCUGUGGUGGUUUCUGUUGUGGUCUUUGUCAGUGGUGUGGCUGUGGUGGUCUCUGCGGUGGUCUUUGUCAGUGGUGUGGCUGUGGUGGUCUCUGCGGUGGUCUUUGUCAGUGGUGUGGCUGUGGUGGUCUCUGUGGUGGUCUUUGUCAGUGGUGUGGCUGUGGGUGUGGUGGUCUCUAUCAGUGGUGUGGCUGUGGGUGUGGUGGUCUCUAUCAGUGGUGUGGCUGUGGGUGUGGUGGUCUCUGUCAGUGGUGUGGCUGUGGUGGUCUCUGUGGUGGUCUUUGUCAGUGGUGUGACUGUGGGUGUGGUGGUCUCUGUCAGUGGUGUGGCUCUGGGUGUGGUGGUUUCUGCUGUGGUGGUUGUCAGUGGUGUGCCUGUGGGUGUGAUGGUCUUUGUCAGUGGUGUGGCUGUAGUGGUGUCUGUGGUGGUCUUUGUCAGUGGUGGGGCUGUGGUGGGUUCUGUGGUAGUCUUUGUCAGUGGUGUGGCUGUGGUGGUCUCUGUGGUGGUCUUUGUCAGUGGUGUGACUGUGGGUGUGGUGGUCUCUGUCAGUGGUGUAGCUCUGGGUGUGGUGGUUUCUGCUGUGGUGGUUGUCAGUGGUGUGCCUGUGGGUGUGAUGGUCUUUGUCAGUGGUGUGGCUGUAGUGGUGUCUGUGGUGGUCUUUGUCAGUGGUGGGGCUGUGGUGGGUUCUGUGGUAGUCUUUGUCAGUGGUGUGGCUGUGGGUGUAGUGGUUUCUGUGGUGGUCUCUGUCAGUGGUGUGACUGUGGGUGUAGUGGUUUUUGUGCUGGUCUCUGUCAGUGGAGUGGCUGUGGAUGUGGUAGUUUUUCUGGUUGUCUUUGUCAGUGGUGUGCCUGUGGGUGUGGUGGUCUCUGUCAGUGGUGUGGCUGUGGAUGUGGUAGUUUUUCUGGUUGUCUUUGUCAGUGGUGUGGCUGUGGGUGUGGUGGUCUCUGUCAGUGGUGUGGCUGUGGGUGUGGUAGUCUCUGUCAGUGGAGUGGCUGUGGAUGUGGUAGUUUUUCUGGUUGUCUUUGUCAGUGGUGUGGCUGUGGGUGUGGUGGUCUCUGUCAGUGGUGUGGGUGUGGGUAUGGUGGUGGUUGUCAGUGGUGUGCCUGUUGGUGUGGUGGUUUCUAUGGUGGUCUUUGUCAGUGGUAUGGGUGUGGUGGUCUCUGUUGUGGUCAUUGUCAGUGGUGUGGCUGUGGGUGUGGUGGUCUCUGUCAUUGGUGUGGCUGUGCUGGUUUCUGUGGUGGUCUCUGUCAGUGCUGUGACUGUGGGUGUAGUGGUUUCUGUGGUGGUCUCUGUCAGUGAUGUGCCUGUGGGUGUAGUGGUUUCUAUGGUGGUCUCUGUCAGUGGUGUGACUGUGGGUGUGGUGGUUUCUGUGUUGGUCUUUGUCAGUGGUGUGGGUGUGGUGGUCUCUGUUGUGGUCAUUGUCAGUGGUGUGGCUGUGGGUGUGGUGGUCUCUGUUGUGGUCUCUGUCAGUGGUGUGGCUGUGGGUGUGGUGGUCUCUGUCAGUGGUGUGACUGUGGGUGUAGUGGUUUCUGUGGUGGUCUCUGUCAGUGGUGUGACUGUGGGUGUAUGGGUGGGUGUGGUGGUCUCUGUUGUGGUCUUUGUCAGUGGUGUGAUUGUGGGUGUGCUGGUUUCUGUGAGUGGUGUGGCUGUGGUGGUUUCUAUCAGUGGUGUGAUUGUGGGUGUAGUGGUUUUUGUGGUGGUCUUUGUCAGUGGUGUGGGUGUGGUGGUCUCUGUUGUGGUCUUUGUCAGUGGUGUGGCUGUGGGUGUGGUGGUCUUUGUCAGUGGUGUGACUGUGGGUGUGGUGAUCUUUGUCAGUGGUGUGGAUGUUGUGGUUUCUGUCAGUGGUGUGUCUGUGGGUGUGGUGCUCUCUAUUGUAGUCUCUGUCAGUGGUGUGACUGUGGGUAUGGUGGUGGUUGUCAGUGGUGUUCCUGUGGGUGUGGUGGUUUCUGUGGUGGUCUUUGUCAGUGGUGUGCCUGUGGGUGUGGUGGUCUCUGUUGUGGUCUCUGUCAGUGAUGUCACUGUGGGUGUAGUGGUUUUUGUGGUGGUCUUUGUCAGUGAUGUGACUGUGGAUGUGGUGGUUUCUGUCAGUGGUGUGGCUGUGGGUGUGGUGGUCUUUGUCAGUGGUGUGGCUGUGGGUGUGGUGGUCUCUGUCUGUGGUGUGGGUGUGGUGGUUUCUGUCAGUGGUGUGGGUGUGGUAGUCUUUGUCAGUGGUGUGACUGUGGGUGUGGUGGUCUCUGUUGUGGUCUCUGUCAGUGGUGUGACUGUGGGUGUGGUGGUUUCUGUCAGUGGUGUGACUGUGGGUGUGGUGGUCUCUGUUAUAGUCUCUGUCAGUUGUGUGACUGUGGGUGUAGUGGUUUUUGUGGUGGUCUUUGUCAGUGAUGUGACAGUGGAUGUGGUGGUUUCUGUCAGUGGUGUGGCUGUGGUGGUCUCUGUCAGUGGUGUGGCGGUGGGUGUGGUGGUUUCUGUGGUGGUCUCUGUCAGUGGUGUGGUGGUUGGUGUGGUGGUCUCUGUAAGUGGUGUGGCUGUGGGUGUGGUGGUCUUUGUCAGUAGUGUGACUGUGGGUGUGGUGGUCAUUGUCAGCGGUGUGGCUGUGGGUGUGGUGGUCUCUGUUGUGGUUGUUGUCAGUGAUGUGACUGUGGAUGUGGUGGUCUCUGUCAGUGGUGUGGCUGUGGGUGUGGUGGUCUUUGUCAGUAGUGUGACUGUGGGUGUGGUGGUCAUUGUCAGCGGUGUGGCUGUGGGUGUGGUGGUCUCUGUUGUGGUUGUUGUCAGUGAUGUGACUGUGGAUGUGGUGGUCUCUGUCAGUAGUGUGACUGUGGGUGUGGUGGUCAUUGUCAGCAGUGUGGCUGUGGGUGUGGUGGUCUCUGUUGUGGUUGUUGUCAGUGAUGUGACUGUGGAUGUGGUGGUCUCUGUCAGUGAUGUGACUGUGGGUGUGGUGGUCUUUGUCAGUGGUGUGGCUGUGGGUGUCAUGGUCUUUGUCAGUGGUGUGGCUGUGGGUGUUGUGGUCUUUGUCAGUAGUGUGACUGUGGGUGUGGUGGUCAUUGUCAGCGGUGUGGCUGUGGGUGUGGUGGUCUCUGUUGUGGUUGUUGUCAGUGAUGUGACUGUGGAUGUGGUGGUCUCUGUCAGUAGUGUGACUGUGGGUGUGGUGGUCAUUGUCAGCAGUGUGGCUGUGGGUGUGGUGGUCUCUGUUGUGGUUGUUGUCAGUGAUGUGACUGUGGAUGUGGUGGUCUCUGUCAGUGAUGUGACUGCGGGUGUGGUGGUCUUUGUCAGUGGUGUGGCUGUGGGUGUCAUGGUCUUUGUCAGUGGUGUGGCUGUGGGUGUGGUGAUCUCUGUCAGUGGUGUGGUGGUGGUGGUUUCUGUGGUGGUAUCUCUCAGUGGUGUGGCUGUGGGUGUGGUGGUCUCUGUCAGUGGUGUGACUGUGGUGGUUUCUGUGGUCGUCUCUGUCAGUGGUGUGGCUGUGGAUGUGGUCUUUGUCAUUGGUGUGGCUGUGGAUGUGGUUUCUGUCAGUGGUGUGGCUGUGGGUGUGGUGGUUUCUGUGGUGGUCUCUGUCAGUGGUGUGGUUGUGGUGGUUUCUGUGGUGGUCUCUGUCAGUGGUGUGGCUGUGGGUGUGGUGGUCUUUGUCAUUGGUGUGGCUGUGGAUGUGGUUUCUGUCAGUGGUGUGUCUGUGGGUGUGGUGGUCUCUGUUGUGGUCUUUGUCAGUGGUAUGACUGUGGGUGUGGUGGUCUUUGUCAGUGGUGUGGCUGUGGGUGUGGUGGUCUCUGUCAGUGGUGUGGCUGUGGGUGUGGUGGUCUCUGUCAGUGGCGUGGCUGUGGGUUUGGAGGUCCCUGUGGUGGUGGUUGUCAGUGGUGUGGCUGUGGGUGUGGUGGUCCCUGUGGUGGUUGUCAGUGGUGUGACUGUAGGUGUGGUGGUGGUUUUCAGUGGUGUGGCUCUGGGUGUGGUUGUCUCUGUCAGUGGCGUGGCUGUGGGUUUGGAGGUCCCUGUGGUGGUGGUUGUCUGUGGUGUGGCUGUGGGUGUGGUGGUCUCUGUCAGUGGUGUGGCUGUGGGUGUGGUGGUCUCUGUCAGUGGCGUGGCUGUGGGUUUGGAGGUCCCUGUGGUGGUGGUUGUCUGUGGUGUGGCUGUGGGUGUGGUGGUCUUUGUCAGUGGUGUGGCUGUGGGUGUCGUGGUCCCUGUGGUGGUGGUUGUCAGUGGUGUGACUGUAGGUGUGGUGGUGGUUUUCAGUGGUGUGGCUCUGGGUGUGGUUGUCUCUGUCAGUGGCGUGGCUGUGGGUUUGGAGGUCCCUGUGGUGGUGGUUGUCUGUGGUGUGGCUGUGGGUGUGGUGGUCUUUGUCAGUGGUGUGGCUGUGGGUGUCGUGGUCCCUGUGGUGGUGGUUGUCAGUGGUGUGACUGUAGGUGUGGUGGUGGUUUUCAGUGGUGUGGCUCUGGGUGUGGUUGUCUCUGUCAGUGGCGUGGCUGUGGGUUUGGAGGUCCCUGUGGUGGUGGUUGUCUGUGGUGUGGCUGUGGGUGUGGUGGUCUCUGUCAGUGGUGUGGCUGUGGGUGUGGUGGUCUCUGUCAGUGGCGUGGCUGUGGGUGUGGUGGUCCCUGUGGUGGUUGUCAGUGGUGUGACUGUAGGUGUGGUGGUGGUAGUCAGUGGUGUGGCUGUGGGUGUGAGCACUGUCUCUGUGACAGGGGUGUGUGUUGAUAGAGAAGGGGUGCCAGUUGUCUUUGUGGUGGAGAAGGUGGUGUGGGACUCGGUCGGGGUGAUAACCUGGUGAGAGGUUGGAGUCACUGAGGAGGUGGCCGAUGUUGACACGUGGACAGGAAGGGUCUCUGGAGGUGGUGGGGUUGGGUAGGCUGUGACUGUGGGUGUGGUGGUCUCUGUCAGUGGUGUGGCUGUGGGUGUGGCUGUGGGUGUGGUGGUUGUGGGUGGAGUUGAUGUCUGGGGUGUGGUGGGGACAGGGAGUGGAAGGGUGGUGCUGGAGUGGGUGAUGGGCAUGGCCGUGGAGGGAGGAGCCGGUGUGUUGGGGCUGGCGCUGCCCUCGGCCCCAGUGGUGGGGGCCGUUGGUCUCAGGCCCGUGUGUGCUGUGCUGGGCCCUGUGGUGCCCUCUGGCGGUCGUGGGGGCUCCGUGCGCUGUGUCUCCUGGCUGAUGGGAGUUUCGGGGGUCCAUCGAUGUGUUGAGGAUGCUGUUGAAAGCAGGGCGUCAUUUCACUCCCUCCCCCUCGUACCCUGCUUUGGGGUCG
Bos taurus (domestic cattle) is the source of this 7551-nucleotide long non-coding RNA. The record is from Ensembl. Lineage: Eukaryota; Metazoa; Chordata; Mammalia; Artiodactyla; Bovidae.